Molecule: ribosomal RNA, 262 nt
Filed under: uncultured bacterium
Lineage: Bacteria
Description: partial 16S ribosomal RNA
Rfam family: Bacterial small subunit ribosomal RNA
Source: RNAcentral
AGUGGCGGACGGGUGAGUAACGCGUGGGUAACCUGCCUUGUACUGGGGGACAACAGUUGGAAACGACUGCUAAUACCGCAUAAGCGCACAGCUUCGCAUGAAGCAGUGUGAAAAACUACCGGUGGUACAAGAUGGACCCGCGUCUGAUUAGCUGGUUGGUGAGGUAACGGCCCACCAAGGCAACGAUCAGUAGCCGGCCUGAGAGGGUGAACGGCCACAUUGGGACUGAGACACGGUCCAAACUCCUACGGGAGGCAGCAUG